Solenopsis invicta (red fire ant) is the source of this 2032-nucleotide long non-coding RNA. RefSeq lists it as uncharacterized. NCBI's taxonomy places the organism in Eukaryota, Metazoa, Arthropoda, Insecta, Hymenoptera, Formicidae. The record is from RefSeq and is a predicted model, not a curated record. The transcript is spliced from 2 exons.
CUCUCUUGCUCCCCCUCUCUCUUUUGUGGCGUGUGGUGCGAAGCUAGCAGCCGAGCCUCUCUCGCCGCUAGCUUCGUGCCGUUCGUACGCGUACUCCUUCGCGUGACGUCAUCGUCGACGAUGUGAACGGAAUUCUCUUUGUACGUACAUUUGAGUUUUCGGGAGUAAUCUGCAGUGAUAUAAACGUUCGGACGAGAGAGCGAGAUCGCUUGGUGACGCGCGCGUUAUUGUUGUUGUUGCCGGACGGCGUCAAAGUUAACUCACCCCGCGCGAAUCACCGCGAGCACGGUCCGGCGAAGGCAACGCGCACCAGUUCGCGUAUUAUCAUCGAUGUCGAACGACUUGUUUUUUCUUUGUACGCGCAGUUACUUCCGAGUUGUCGUAUGCAACGGAAAAGUGUUCCGACGGAAUAUCUAUCUUGAUCAUAUCCUCGCGUCGUGUGUCCCUCUCGCUACGUGAUGAUGUCGCCUCACCCGCGCCGGGAGCAACGCCGUCAACAAAGUGUCGCGCGUUGUUUUAAUAAUUAGCACGCGAUCGUAAUUGAUAUCGCGAGUGUUGUGUUGUGCAUUAACGAGAGAAUUGGAGAGGAGGCGGAGACUUGGAAGGAGCAUCAGGCAACGGCGGAACAACCCUGUGGAUUAAUGCAGUUUCAACUCCGCUGUUGCGCAUCAGUGUCGGUAAGUCUGAUACUAUUUCAUAUUUUAAUUUAGCACCUUAAUGCUCAACAAUCGUAAUUUAUUUGCAUUUGUGCAAAAUUGAAAUGUACAAUUAAGAAAUUGAUUUUCGAUGGUGGGAGGGGAUUCAAUAGAGGUUUUAAUAGAGGUAGAACAAUGACAAUCACAAGUUGAUAUUAUAUAACAUCGUUUUAUUAGAUUUAAAUUGAAAUUGAUUAUAAAUUAUGGUGAUGAAUUCGAAUACUAGGACUAGGACAGAUGGUUUUCGCUGCUUUGCUCAGUAUACUCAAUUUUAUAUUGUAUAUUAUGGUUGUCGAAGAAUGAACGCCGUUGCUGAAAUUUAUUUCCCGCUUUCUGCCUCUCUCUCUCUCUCUCUCUCUCUCUUUCUCUCAACACAUACGCGCGCACACACAUACGCACACGCAUAUUUCACACAUUUCACGCACAUUUCUCUCUCCGUCCUUCUCUCGGUCUCGAUUCAAUAGAAACAAUAUUAAUCGUUUGUAUUAAGCAUUUUACGCGCGUAAUAUAGAACUAACUUUUCCGGUCGCAAUCUCUUCCUUUUUUUUGUCUCGAUUCCGCACAAUCACGAGGGUCACGACCUCGGUGUACUCGAAAUCGUCGUGAACGUUCAACGCGCGUUCGGCAGUGCUACGCAAGGAAAUCUCGGCAUUUCGCGCCGGGUGAUCGUUUUAGAAUCGUCGCGAUUCGCGAAUUCCGGUGUUCUUUCAACGCAUCUGGAACUUCGAUCUCGUCUCCCCUCGGGUACAACCGAGUUCAUCCCAUUGUUUCCGCAUAAGCCCAGAAACAAUUCUCUUACAACGUUUCCUCUCGUCCCAUCUCUUUCGCGCCUAACAUUUGAUUUGAACAGUCGCUUCGAUAACGAUCGAUCGUACUCGCUUUAUACGUGCGCCGCGUCUCGUGUCAAGAAACAUAAACGUAAGAUUUACGAAACGCAAACGAGAGCGUCGAAAUGAAAACGGUGCUGUAGCCGAUGAUUCCGAGAAAAAAUGACAUCUUUUGCUUUACGAUGGUCUCUGCAGUGCUUUUAACUCCGUUUUCACUUCGAAGUGACAUACAAGACUUCCUCCGCCAAGCUUCCAUCGGCAUCGUGAUACCGUCACAACGUGUCGGUUCUCAAUUUGUUUAUGCAGAAAGUUCAACACGUGUACGCAUAAGCACAAGAGAACCUAGACGUAUAAUGCUUGAAUUAUCGCAUGAGCUCAAGAGAUGAACAAAAAAAAAUCGAAUUUCGGCCGUACGUUAUUAUAUUGUACCAUUCUGAGUCGUGUAUCAAGUGAGAAUUAAAUUUCUCUUUAGAGGGUAUACAUUCUCUCGCUUUUGUGCUUAGAAAAAAA